AUUUAGCCUGCUAGUCGUACGGGUUAGACCCGUGGCAGAUAGCUCAGUACCCCUUGGCGCAUCUACCCUGUAGCCCCUGACAUCCUCGGCAUUUUGAGGCCAAUCGGGGAUACGAGUCUCACGCUGGAACCGCCGAGACUCCCAAACGGUCCGCCGCUACAGGAUGAGGCUGCGGCCGAUUAGGUUGACGGUGGGGUAACGGCCCACCGUGCCGAUAAUCGGUACGGGUUGUGAGAGCAAGAGCCCGGAGACGGAAUCUGAGACAAGAUUCCGGGCCCUACGGGGCGCAGCAGGCGCGAAACUCUUUACACUUGCACGCCACGUUGCGAAUAAGGGGGACUCCGAAGUUGCGAGGGUCAUAUCGUUCCUUCUCUUUUGUCGACCGGUAAGGUGGU
This 395-nucleotide ribosomal RNA is filed under the name uncultured archaeon. RNAcentral describes it as "bacterial SSU rRNA". It matches the Rfam family "Archaeal small subunit ribosomal RNA", at positions 43 to 428 of the family's 1478-position model. The record is from RNAcentral.